GUCUUCUCACUGUGUCCUCACAUCCUCUGGUCUCUUCAGCCCCUACAUAGGCACCAAUCCCAUUCUUGAGGGCUCCACCCUCAUGACCUAAUCACCUCCCAAAGGCCCACCUCCUAAAACCAUCACAUUAGGGGUUAGGAUUUCAACACAUGAGUUGGAGCUGGGAGGGCCGGGGGAGACACAAACAUUCUGUCUAUGGCACCACCCUAGGUCAUAUCUAAUUUAAGGGAGAUCAUUACUAAACUAAGAAAUUUGAAGCUGAAAGAGAGCUCCAGAAAUCGAGAAGUUUGGUUACUGACUCUAAGCACAAACUGAACAAUUACAAAGAUGUGCGGUAAACACUCAGAAUGUGGUCAUUGCUGAGCACCAACGACCUUGUUUCCUGGGAAGACAUAGUGUGCUGGAGUGAAUGCUGGACUUGGAAGCAAAAGAUAAGAUUUGGACUCCUGCCUCAAUAGGGAAUGGCUAUUUACACCUGCUCUGCACAGCUGACCCGGUUAUUUUAAGGCAAAAGGAGUACGGGGUCAGUGAAAAGUAACUGUAACUAUAAGAAGCUCACAAACAUAAGGCAUUGUGGGAUGAAGCUGUUUGCCAUGAAAUGAUGAGUUUUCUGGGAGCGUAGGUACCAAUCUGAACAGUGCAGGUUAAAAAUUAUAUCCUGCUGUGAGGGAGGUGUGCUGCAUGUGGACCCACCACAACACUGGGGCUUCCUUGUCCUCUGGCUGGGGGACUGAGCAAGAGAAGGGACACAGUGCUUGUGGCCUUCGCUUCCCUGUCUAGCAAGCCGUCACUGGGCAGGGCUGCAAUUUUCUAACUAAGGCCACACUCCUGUUGGGUAAGUUCUUCUCCUCCAUUCCAUCUCUCACCAUCUUCUACCAAGAAGGUUAAUUGGGUUAAGAUAGACUGUUUACGGGAGUGGGAAAGUGGGCCAGGAAAGGGAAAGUGGCCAUUAUCAGGAGUAUUGAUGGCAGGUUGCCACUGUGAGAUGCUUGGCGCAGACCUCUAGAAAACACUGUAGGACCAGCCUCAGAGUUGACCUGCCCGAGGUGUGAGGAGGCUGGGCCCCCACUUCAGAUCCCCGAGUACUGAGACCACUGCUGCAAGCUCUCAGCAUGUGGCUUCCCUUGGGGCUGCCUUACCUGCACACAUCUCUGUCAGUUGUCACUUCAUCCAACUCUCUUCAGUUACCCCUUGAGGAGGCCGUCUCUUUCCUGCUCUGACUCCAAAACCAGCUAUGUUUUCCCAAAUUAUUCUAUCUGAAUGACCAGAUGUAGCACAUGCUCGUGUCCCACGCUAUCCCUUGUCACUGGCUGUUUCUAUACACACCGAUGGCUUCUUCUCCAAGGGCCUGCAAGUUUUCUCCAGCUGAAGGUUCCUGUGGCCCUCACACGGGGCAGGCCACAGUGUUGAGGCGUGAAAGACGCUGAGAGCAGCCCUCGAGCAACGACAGGGGGGAGCCAGCGGAUAAGACCUCAGCCUCCUCACCCCUUGAGCCGAAUGACUCUCAAGCUUGUUGUGCAGUUCUCCUGAGGUCUGAGCCGAGCUGCUCACAACAACAAACUGCUUUGUCAAUGUUGCCUGUAGUGGCCGCCUUCCUGUUCCUGACCUACCUCCCAACCCACUAACAGCCCUUCUUGGAAUUGCUUCCCAAUGAACCUGUUUGCACUUGAAUCUUUAUCUCAGCAUCUGCUUCUGUGGGACCUCAACCUAAGAUACCAGGUAAUCAUAUCUUGACCUGUGGCAUCGAGUGCCUUGUCUAUACAGGUCACUUACGAGCUACCAUGGACUAAACUAAAUUCCACAGCAAGGUUGAUAAGACCCUUCACGAUCAAGCCACUGCUCACUGUCCAGCUUCACCUUUCCCCAAUGCUUUCUCCACCACACCCUCUUUCUUGACUUCCAUAGACCAGUUACGCUCAAUUAUCUGCAGAUCUUGGAAUAUGUUCCAAUCCUCAAGCCUCCGGCCCUGUACCACGUUGCUCUCUUUGCCAAGAACAACCUUUCCCACCAUGCAUUAGUCUACCUCCCAUUGUCUUCAAGGUUUCAGCCCUCCCUGAUCACUCCCCACUAGCACACACUCAAGCUGGGUGACAUGUCCCUCUUAUGUGCUUCCAGACCACUCCGUUCUGAUAUUGCCUAUUUUCUCCCACUGGACUGUAAACUCUGUGAUGCAGAAACUCUAUCUUACUUAUCUUCAAAUUCCCAGGCCCAGUAUCAUACCUACACAGAGUAAACCUGGAAUAAAUGCUUAAUGAAUUAAUGAAAAAAAGUUGUAAAUGAACAAAGCUUUUAAUUUUGGAAAGGAAAUAAGACAAUUCCUUUAAUACAAGGUGGAAUACAGUGAGAAUCAUGAGGAAAAUCUACACCAUUUUGUGGGCUAUCAGCCUGGAGAGAAGGCAGCAAUUACUUCCUUGUAGAAGAGGUGAACUUUGGCUGUGAAGGUCGUGAAAGACAGCGAUAGUUGGGCAGUGGCAUUGGAGAGCAUGAGGAGGAGGGGAAGGAAGUGGUCCAGAGAGAGGGAACCCUAGUGCAAAUGGCCUGAGGCAGGACAUUUCUGAGUGGGCCUGGGAAAUGGGGAAUGAUCCAGCCAGCAGAGUGCAGGAUACCUAGGAGAGCGCUGGGGGGCAGUGAGGAAGGUGCAGAUGAGGGUGCUUCCUCUGACCACGUAGAAGCAGUCCCAAGGAGUGUGACUUUGCUCAUUGUUUAAUAUACUGACCCUCCCCCAGCACUGCCAUCUUUCCUUCCUUCCUCAGCUUCCUCUGUUCGUGGGUGAGGCUUCCUGUUAAGUCGUUCUGAGAACUGUGGUUUUCAGAGGUUUAGAGACUAAGAAUGCCUGCCAGCAAAAUCACCGCUGAACAUCCCCACUGAAUUCCAGGAAACGACUCCUCACUCUGCGGACCUGGGCUCUCCAGAGAGCGCCAACCGUCCAAGGGGACAGAGACCGGGAGGUGUUCUCUUCCCUUCCAGGGGGCCUUGCCUUGACACAGCAUUCAAGGCCACCUGGGAAAAGGAGCAUGCAGCUCUGCUUCUUGUCAACAAAGCCAAACUGUGACUACCAGGAUGCUUGCUAUUUAAAGUGGAAUCUGCUGUGAAUCACUUCCAGGACAGAGACUCGUUUGCAAAAUGAAGCGCCACCUUCUUCUACUUUUUAAUUAAUAAUUUAAAAAAAUUAUAUAAGGUAAAUUUUCAUUUUUCUAGAAUCCAGAAAAAAUAGAUAUAAUUAACUAGAGAGUAAAAGAAAGACUGUACGAGGACAACCAACAUUUAUAAUAAUGACAAUAAAAUGCCACAAAAUCUUAGGGUGCCUUCUGAAAAUUGAACUACUGGUCAAUAACUCCUUAUCCACAAUUCCAAAAUUCAUUUGGUAGCAAAAAUUGACCUGAACUAAUGAGAAGUUAUUUAUAUUCAUUUAUCUCACUUAGAGUAAAUAUUCAUACGUUUUGCUGCAGACAUAUGAAUGUGUUUUGCUACAGGUGUUGUCCCAGACCCUGCUGGGGGCAUUAUAUAAUAUAUAGUUUAUGCAUGUUAUUAUACUUCUAGAAUACAAAGCAUUAUGAAUUCCAGACAUAUCUGGCCCAAAGGGCUUCAGAUAAGGGAUUUGGGGCCUGAGCCCAUAUCAGUUGUGUUCAACUUUAUUUUGGUGUUAGGUGUUUUUUAGGAUAUUCCAACUUUGUGAGGUCAGAGCGCUGGCUAUUCCCUUUUCAUUGCCCACCUCCUUCCUGUCCCCUCCUGGAUUCAGACGCCACUGCCCUGCCCUCUGCUCAGAGAGGCCACCCACGUGGACAGCCUCAUUCUGGCCGACUCCCUUGAUGGCCAGUGGCAGGGAUUGGCUGGAGAACUGAGGCCAGGCGACAGGGAGGCUGUCGUGCUUCUUCUCUGCUUCCUCCCGCUCUGGUGUCCGUUGGCUGGCACCAACUGCCCCUGUUCCCAUGUCAGCUCCGGCUGGCAGCCCCAUUCACAUUCUUGGCUCCCGACACGCCGGGAGCUGGGACACGCUGUAUCCCCCUUUCCCUCCUUCAGCUCUUAGGAGUAGUAACCGCCCUCCACUACUGCAGGAGGUGGACACACCGCCUCUCUGUUUGUUCUCUGCGCCCUGCCCACACCUUGGAAGCAGCCCCUUUGUUAGAGUCUCUCCAUUUGCACCAUCUAGAAUGAACGCUAUUUCCUGCCACACACUUGUACAACAUAUUGUCAUACAUUGACAAAUCAGAGAGUCCCUGUAGUGCCCUGUGAAAAUGCACUGAUCUUAAAUCAAGAGGCCUGAGUCUGAGGAUUGGCUAACUUUGGCUAAGUCACUUUACUUUUCUGGUCCUUGGUUUUGCUAUCUGUAAAAAGGGGCUGAUAAUGCCUGUUUCAGAAUGCACCAUGACAGUAAAACAAUGUAUGUGAAAAUGUCCAGGAAAUUCUAAAGAAAUGCAAAUAAUUCAAGAACUUUUAGGAAACUAGAAUAUUCAAUUUUUCCUUAUAUCCUUUCCCCCUAACUCUUCUGGAUAAGAAUGUGUGCUUUGUGUCUUAGUUCGACCUGCUGUAACAAAAACACCAUAGAUUGGGUGGCUUAGACAACAAACAUUGGUUUCUCACAGUUUCAGAGGCUGGGAAGUCUAAGAUUAAAUCGCUGGCCGAUUUAGUGUCUGGUGAGGUCCCUCUUCCUGGUUUGCAGAUGACUGUCUUCUCCUUGCGUCCACAGGCAGCAGAAAGAGAGAGAAAGAGAGAGAGAGAUCCCUGUCUCCUCCUCUUUGUAUAAAGGCACUAACCCCUUCAUGAGGGCCCCACCCUCAUGACCUCGUCUAACCCUAAGUAUCUCCCAAAGGUCCCACUGCCUAAUACCAUUCCACUGGGGGUUAAAGUUUCAACAUAUGAAUUUGGAGGGACACGAACACGCAGUCCAUAAUACUUUGUUUAAAGCAAAGUAUACCUUUGCCCUGUGCUGAGACCAGAGGUGACUAGAAAAAGGAAAGUCCCGGAUCUGCCCUCUUCCCUUCCUAGAUGUCCAUUUCAGGGCUCAGCUGCUCUUUGCUGCCUGUGCUUAAUCUCUAUUAUCCACCCUCAGUGAGAGUCUCGGGCAGAAGUUUCUGUGCCUUAGUUUUACACCGAUCCAUCUACUUUUCCUUUUCCGUCUUCAGCCAUUCUGUAAACAUUUGGGUUCCUUUUUCUCUUCUUCCAAAUCUUCAACAUUCUAUCUAGUUUUUUGGCUGCUUUAUCUGCUUUAAAGUCACAUGCUUCCCUAGAGCCUAAAGUAAUAAUUUUUAGUAAAACCUCUAUCACUCACCAAAAUUCUCUUCUCCUCCUCAUCCUGACACUAUAUCAAGCAAGAAUCUCCUACGGAUGGUUUUCACCAAUAAGAAAUUGUUGCUUUGACUUUACAAAAAUCUAGAUCAAUUUUCUUGUGGCCAAAAUUCACCAGAAAGACAUUUAAUUCUCUACUUUACUUUAAUCAUAUAUGCUCGCCCUGAAAAUCUGAUCUUUCUCUGGAGUCGUCAUUCCAGCACUACAUGGGUGUUCCCUGUAAAAGGGAACAAUCAACAAGAUUAAGUUACUUUGAGUUCUUAAUUGAUUUUCCAGAACUUCCUCUUCCUAUGACAAAACAUAGCCUUCUGAGCAACACAUUCAAUUUAGCCUCAUCCUGCCUGGAGCUUUAGUGAACAAGAUACAUUCUGGAAAGAAAAGUAAUUUCACAUGUAGAUGACUAAUUGGCACUUUUUAACCUCCCAGUAAUAACCUUAUUACUUAUCUUUAGCAAAUCUAGUGCCAGAACAGAGUCUGUCUUCAUGUUAUAUGCUUUGAGAGUUCAAAUUCCUUUGAUCCUUGGAGUUUUGUUGUAGCAAAUAUUUGCUAGAAGUAAAGAGGACAUCCUUACAGAAUUUGGCAAUACUUUGCUAUGUAAAGACUUUGGUCAGGCUAAUUAUGGUAAUUGUAUUUAACUACUAUGACUUAGUAUAAUUUUCCUUCUUCUUGAUAAUUUAUAGUCAUACUUAAAAACAAAACAAAUCAGAGUUAAUCUCUUUUAAGUAAGACACGGCGUGAUACCUCUGAGUGUGUGUGGCAACCCAAACGGAGAAGCCCUACACAAUACUAGUUUCCAGGGCAGGAACGCAUGUGACUUGCUGCACCCCCCGGGGCCUGCAGAGCCUCUGUUGCAACUUCUGAAUUCUGCCAUUGUAGUGCAAAAGCAGUCAUAGACAAUAGGUAAGCAGAAUGGCAUGGCUGUGUUCCAAUAAAACUUUAUUUACAAAAACAGGGUUGGGCUACAUUUGACCCUGCUUUCCUUUCUUACAGAGCAAUUGCUACUUUGUACUGUAAUUAUCUCUAACUUGUCUGUCUCCACCUGUGCACUUCUAAUGAAGAUUCUCCAUUGUUAAACACUUUCAAAAAUAAAGUCCAAUCAUUGGGCAACCCAUCGUAAAAAUAAUUGAUUCAGGGGAGAGUCAUCAAUGGAUACGAAAACAAGUGGGAGAUCUAAUGAGAAACAAGAUAUUCACAUAGUCUCCAAAUAGCUCCCCACAGCAUACUUAUUAAUUGCAACGGGGGAAAAUAGUAACUUUACAGGGGGGAAGCCUAGCAGAAGCCCCCUCAGUCAAGUGAUCAAAGUUAAUAUACCUGGUGGUGGGAUAAAUCAACACCGGGUGCUUCACUUCUUUGGGAUUCCUGCCUAAGAUAAAUAACCGGAAUCCAAUCGUGUGAAAACAUCAAACAACCCCACACCGAGGGACAUUCUACAUAAUAUUUUGGCCUAUUCUCUUCACAAAUGUCAAUGUCACAAAAGACAAAGACUGAGAAACUGGUUCAGAUUAAAGAAUAGAAAAGAAACACGAUACAUGAACGCAAUUCAUGAUCUGGGAUUUUCUUUUUGCAAAGGACAUUAUUGGAAAGAGCAUCAAAAUCAGAAAAAUGUCUGUAGAUUGAAGAGUAUUUUGUAUGAAAGUUAACUUCUAGAUUUUGAUAAUUGUACAGUGGUGAUGUCCUUGUUUUUCGUACAUACACACUGAAGUAUUUACAGGUAAAUGGGCAGCAUGGCUGCAACUAGGGUGACCAAUUACCCCGGUUUGCCUGGGACUGAAGGGGCUCCCGGAUGCAGGACUUUCAGUGUGAGAGUCAAAAAAGUCCUAGGCAAACUGGGAAGAGUUGGUCACCUCCAUGAAAUUGACUCUCAAAAGGUUCAGGACAAAAAUGUGAAUGUGUUUAUGUGUGUGUGUGUCUAUGUCUGUGUAUGUGUAAAACAAAUGUGGUAAAUAUUAAUAUUUGGAGGAUACAAGUGCAGAAUCUUUGUAUUAUUCUCACAACUUCUGUAUGACUGAAAUUAUAGCAAAAUAAAAAGUUGAAAAGAAAAAAGUCCAACACAGCUUAGAGAAAUGGCCUCCGAAGCAGAUUGGAACGUGUUUUCUGUGUCGUGGCAAUAAGUACAGUGGCCCAGAGUAGAAACUACGUUGGUCUAUGUCUAGGCUGAGGAAUGUUAUUCAAAUAGCAGCCCCUUGACUUCAAGCCACAGCCCUGCGCUCUCCCAGCUGGAGCACUGGAAGCCUGUCUUAGAACACCACAUUUUUAGACCCCAGAGUGUGAGGCGGGUCAGCAAAUGACUGACAGUCAGUCACUAUUUCAUCACCGAUUCUAUGUUGGGCAUGAUGUACGCUCUGUCCUUCAGGUAAGCGCUUCCGAUCCUCAUAACCACCUUAGGGGAGACGAUUAGUAACCUUGUUUUACAGAUGAAGGAAAAAAGUGAGUCAUAAAAUAAUUAAACACUUGACCAAGUGUACACAGCUACAGAGUGGCCAAGGAGGGAUCCAAAACCAGCUCCAAAUAACCAAAGACAACACAAAUGCCUAACAGGAGGCCAGAUAAAUACUCUAUGUCCAUGACUGCCACGGAAGAGGAAGCGGCUGUUCCAAACUAUGAGGUGUUGCUGCGUACGUAUACUGACCGGGAAGGUUAUCAGUGAUACAUUGUUGAGUCCCAGCUACAUUCAGUUAGUGCUGCAAGAAUCCCUGUGGGUAUGUGAUUAGUCUGUGUGUGUGAAACUAUAUGCAUACACUUAUGUUUUGUGUUAAUAGAAAGGUCAAGGGACAAUAGGCCUCUCAAACUUUAGAGUCCUUGAGAAUCACCUGGUGAACUUGUUAAAACGCGUAUUAAUACAAAGCUCCGCUCCUGUUGGAGGGGACCCAAGAAUCCACAUUUCCAAUCACACCUAAACUCUGAAAGGAUGGAAAGCAAGCUCUUGCCAAUGGUUUCUAGAGAGUAGGAAUUUUCACUUUUCACUUUUUAAAAGUUUCUUGUUGCGUGAAUAUUUUUAAACAGGCAUGCACCACUUUUAUCCCUUUAAAACUUAUGUUGAACCCCUGCUCCAAUACCUGUCCUCUUACCAAAACUUCACAGCUGCCUGAAAGCUACGGGACCCCAGACCAGCCUGUGACUGGCAACCGAGCCCCUGGCCCUGGGGGAAGCAGAGCAUGCGAGGCAAUCAAGUAAAAGGGCGUCCUUCCUGAUGUCACGCUCAAGGACAGCGGCCCGCGGAGGUUCUGGGUACCAGAGAUGGUGCAUGAAGACCAAGGUGGCAAGGGUCGUGUCUCUGCUGCUGGGAAUGACUGGAAGGUUAUUACAACCCGAAGAGAAGAGAGGCUGCCCAUGGCUGGUCACACAGUUUACAGGAUGCUGGGAUUGUCUCUACCCCUCUUGAUAACAGCAGGCACAUUUGAAAGGUUUAAAACAGAGAUGUGGUUGAAGACCUGUGAUAAAUAUAUGCUUCUUCAUUUAGCCAGGUAAGUUAGCAAUAUUCUGCAACUAAGCCACAAGCAGGAUGUAGUUUUAAUACAUAUUUCCUAUUCAGAAAGGAACAACUAGUUAAGAAUUUCAAAAUGUCUGACUCCUACAGAGUUGUGAUUGACAUUCACUGGUUAUCCCUCCAGCAUGAAUUCUUCCCUCCCCCACCUUCAUUUUCCUUGGACACACACCCCCCUUCCAUUCUCCCUGGUGGCGUUGAUGGGAUGGACCCCACCCCCAACUCCAGAAAUGGACUCUAAUUGGCACAAGUCAAUUAAGAUAUGCCAUUCCUCAGGCCACAUAGAUUGGUCAAGGAUGAGCUCAUAAUCCAAUGUGGGUCAAUGAUUCAUAGUGAUAAGCAUUAAGAAAAAAGAAAGAGCUCAAAUAAACAAUUUAACUUUACAUCUCAAGGAACUAGAGAAAAAGGAACAAACUAAACCCAAAGUUAGUAGAAGGAAGGAAGUAACAAAGAUCAGAGUGGACAUUGUAAAUGAAAUAGAGGCUAACGACAAUAGAAAAGUCAAUGAAAAUGAGAGCUGGUUUUCUGAAAAGAUAAAGUGACAAACUUGUAGCUAGACUCAUCAAAAAAAAAAAGAGAGAGGUCUCAAAUAAAUAAAAUUAGAAAUGAGAAAGGAGACAUUACAACUAAUACCACAGAAAUGCAAAGGAUCAUAAGAGACUACUAGGAAAAAUUAUAUGCCAACAAAUUGGACCACCUAGAGGAAAUGGAAAAUUUCUGAGAAACAUUCAACUACCAACACCGAAUCAUGAAGAAAUAGAAAAUCUGAAGAGACCUAUGACCAGUAAGGAGAUUGAAUCGGUAAUCAAAAACCUCCCAACAAAGAAAAGUCCAGGUCCAGCCGGCUUCAUUGGUCAAUUCUACCAAACAUUCAAGGAAGAAUGAAUACCAAUGCUUCUCAGACUCUUCCAGUUCGGGCCUGUGAGAGAGGUGACAAUCACAGGACUUGUGUGGAAAAUAAUAAAAGGGGUUCUCUGUCCCUGGUCACACCUGGUGUGGUAUGAGGAUGCGAGGCAGGGAACUGCCGGAGUAAUCUCCCACCCUGGGGAGAGCCCAGAGUUGCCAGGGGCCUUUGUGUGAAUUUGGAGAGAUUGUGAGAGCCAGAUCCUUGUAUGGCUCAGACUUACCUGAAGCCAGCCCUACCUCUGGACUUUUCAGUUACUAAGCCAAUAAAUUCUCUUUGUUGUUUAAGCCAGGUCUAUGAACUCUCUGUCACUUGCAACCACAAGAGACCUAAAUGAUUCAAGGCUGCUAAUGCUAUUCCUAGCCACACCUAGCCAGCAUCUAAAGAAACACCGAAACCUUGUGAUGAAUGUGUUUUCGUGUCUUUGUUGUUGUGGCUUUUACCUCACCAGGAUCCUCCACUCUUCUUUUAUUCACAAGGAACUUUAUUGCCUCUUAGGGAACCACUGCUCCCCACUCUCACUCAAUACCAUCCUAGCUGACCUCACCUCCUGGCUCCAGCAGUGGACAUGUGAGCCAGGCAUAACCAACAGGGCGUUCCAUUCAUGGGGCUAUUUGAUUGGAUCAAGGAUGGGUAAACUAUCCCAAGGUGACCAGUGAAAAUAAGAUUCAGGACUUAUAACUCUCAUUGAAAAGGCAGUUGGAGGGUUUGCUGAGAGAGGAGGAUACAAAUAUCUUCAUGGACGGUUUGCCAUCACAUAAUAGAGAGAACUUUCCUGGAAAGGAAGCAAUAGAGAAAAAAGAAAGACAAAAGAUAAAGAGAUGGUGAGAGACAAACCAAAUCCUAACAACAAUCCCUGAGGCCUGGAUCCAGCCAUGCCUGAAGCAUGUAAAGCAAUAACUUCCUUCUAGUUAAGACAGUUUGAGCUGAGCUUUCUGUCACUUGCAGUUUAGAAUCUUGAUUACUACAGACCUGAAAUUUUUUUCACACUAAAAUAAAUAGUUCUUUCUAUUUAUUAUAAUAUUCUUAUUUUUCACUCGUACAAAAGUAAUGCAUGCUUAAUGCAGACAGUCUGGAAACACAAAGAAAAUAAGGCAAAAUUCACUUUUAGACCACAAGUCUGACUUUAUGAUUGCUAACCUCUUAGUGUAUGUUUUUUGAGUCUUUUCAUAUGCUUAUUUAUGGAUUACUACAACAUUAGUUCCAAAUUAUGUAGGUGCACUAUAAUUUAUUUAGUCUUUUCUUUUAACAGCUGAAGUCAUUUUCUUUCUUUCUUUUUCUGUUAUUUACUAUUUACUAUCAUGAACAUCUGUGUUGACAAAUCUUUGCACACAUCCAUAGCCAUUUCCUUAGCAUAAAUUCACAUAGUCAUAUGCAUAAUAAAUUCCUCAUUAGGUUGUUUCCAAUUUUUUAUUAUAAAUAAUGUUUAAAUGAACAUGUUUAUGCAUUCCUUUGUAUGGCAUAAAGUCCUAGGAGUGGAAUUGCUCGGGAGAGGGCAUGGCCCUGCGAGGCUUUUGGGAGACAUUGCCAAGCUGCCCUGCAGAAGGCUGUUUGAAUCUGUCUUCGCUGCUCCUCCAAACCGUCACACACACUGGAUGUUGCUAUUGCCGCAGUUACUAAUCAAGAUGAACAUUUUCUUCAUAUGUUGGUCAGCUAUUUUUGUUGAUAUUUUCUUAUUUGCCUCUUCACAUCCAAACACUUGGAAUUCUUUUACUUUUCUUUCAGGAGUAAUCAGAUAGAUAAGGUAAUGCCUCGUUAUCAGUCAUUUUAGUUAUUUUUCCAAUGACACUUUCUGUAUGUGCAAAAGAACUCCAGGCCCUAGUGGAUGCAUUUUGGUUGGAAACACCUAUUGCUUUGAAUUUUUGCUGACGACUUUCUGUAUCACCAACCUGCCGUGAGUUAAGUACAAUGACUUGAGAGAUAACUUGUGUAGUUACCCUGGGUACAUAAAAUGGGUUUGGAGCCAGGCUUUUUGGGGUCUUAAUCUAGCCCCAUCACUUACCAGUUGUGUGACAAUGGACAAAUUGCUGAAAAUCUCUGUGCCUAAUUUUUCUCAUCUGUAAAACGGGGAUAACAGUAUCUGAUUCAUAGGGUUGUUGGAUCAUUACGAUGAGGUGAAUAAAGCACUUGGUGACAAGGUCUCCUCGCACAAGUUAAGCCCUCAGUUAACAUUAACCAUCAGUCACAGAAUCCAGUAGCAGCUGAUCUGCAUUGAAUGUGUGAGAAGGAUGAUACAAACAUCCCACUUCAUCUUCAUCAGCUCUCCGAAUCAGUUUCUUCUGUAAUGGCCACUUUAUAAACGAGGACUAAGUUGCAGAGGGAUUGCAUCACUUUAGCCAAAGCCUCCUUGUUAAUAUGUGGAAUGGGGACCCAAGCCCACCUACCCUGCCUCUGGGAGAAUAUAGAAGACAGACUGCUUGCAUUUUUUAACAAAAAUGUUAUCUGAAGACCUUUUUUUUUCUUGCAGGGAAAGAUUCA
This is a non-coding RNA of Equus caballus (horse), 12152 nucleotides long. The record is from RefSeq and is a predicted model, not a curated record. NCBI's taxonomy places the organism in Eukaryota, Metazoa, Chordata, Mammalia, Perissodactyla, Equidae.